This 406-nucleotide ribosomal RNA is filed under the name uncultured bacterium. RNAcentral describes it as "partial 16S ribosomal RNA". It matches the Rfam family "Bacterial small subunit ribosomal RNA", at positions 28 to 526 of the family's 1533-position model. The record is from RNAcentral.
GACGAACGCUGGCGGCGUGCUUAACACAUGCAAGUCGAACGAGUGGCGAACGGGUGAGUACUAUGUGGGGAACCUUCCCUCUCUCGGGGACAAGCUUUGGUAACGGGGUCUAAUAACGGCUAAAGGGGGAUGGGCUCCCGGCCUAUCAGCUUGGUGGUGGGGUGAUGGGUUAUCAAGGCGGUGACGGGUAGCUGGCCUGAGAGGGUAACCGGCGACAUUGGGACUGAGAUACGGCCCAGGGUAGUAAGGGGGGGAGAAGUGGGGGAUAUGGCACAAUGGGCGAAAGACUGAUGCAGCGUGGCUGAGUAGGGGAUGAUGGUUUUCGGGUUGUAAACCUCUUGCACUAUCGAACCGGUAGGUGGAGAAGAAGCGCCGGCUAACUACGUGCCAGCAGCCGCGGUAAUUC